Vicugna pacos (alpaca) is the source of this 3242-nucleotide non-coding RNA. NCBI's taxonomy places the organism in Eukaryota, Metazoa, Chordata, Mammalia, Artiodactyla, Camelidae. The record is from RefSeq and is a predicted model, not a curated record.
CCGCGGAAAGUUGUGUCAGCAUAUCUGUGGACCUUGCCCCGUCCACAUUCCGCAGAGAUGAUAAAGAACCAGUUCUUUCAGUUUUUGUACACUCUUGUAGCCCUUUCCGUGCGUCCCGGACAGGGAGGGGAACCUUCUGAUGUCUGACAGCUGCUUCCCUAACUUCAGAAGCACCAAGUUUCCCCUCCUCCCUCCAGCCCAGGGCUGCUGCCUUCCCAGGAGGCCUCUCGGCUCACGGGGUCCAUGAACUUCUGGCGCACUUGCCCCAGCCAUCCCCCAGACAGACCUGGGUUCUGCGGUGAAUAUACCUCCAGCUCAGCUGGACUCCUGCUUUCACAGAGUGCGCUGACAGGCACAGCUCACGGAGUCCUCAUUCCUCUUGUUCAUCUCCAAGACCACUGGAGGCUCAGAGAAUUCAGGCGCUGGGGUUUGGACCCAGGACUUCGUGCAUGCUAAGCAUGCACUCUACCACUGAGCUACACCUUCCCCAUCAAGCUGAGUUCUAGAUGGCUGGAAACAUUCAUGAAGAGCACGGAGGAAAAUCUCAUACCUUCUAGUGUGGUGUAUACACUGCAGAGGAAGUGAGUUUCAAUUCAUCAGUAAACGGGAAGGACCCUCCGCCCUGGAUGAGGUCGCGGGAUUAGGAAGCUGGAGGUGGGUAAGGAUGAGCCCAAGAGUCCUGAAGGUGGCACUGCAGAGGCUGAGGACGAGAAGGAAAGACUCCAGGCAUCCAGGGUGAACCUCGCAGACUCCGACACCCCCCCAGGACCAGCCGUGUUGACUUCAGAAGGGACAGAGACCAGCAGAGACCGCACCGGAGUAUUUCCAACAUGCGGCUGGAAGCAAGCAGCUCUGCCUCGGACGAUUUAUGAAGAUGUUUUGUUUUUGUUUUUGAACAUAGUUAACUUGGAAUAAAUGAGCCUUGUUCCUGAAGAAUUUCUAAUCAAGGUAUCGCUGCAUAAAAACAGCUUUUAGCCUCAAGGAACUUAUUGCCUUGUUUGAAAGACAGAGCACACCCACCGAGAAUAGAUGAGAAAGCAGUAAAUAAAGCGGCCAGAUGCUGGGUGUGGACAAUUAAGAGGUCACCGGAAAAUUUAUAAUGCAGUAUAUGUGAUGGAGGGCAAGCCAGGUUUCUGUCAAAGUCUCUUUUGGAUUUCCAAACGAAAAAAGGUUUGCUGUCCUUAAUCUCCUGCUGCAUUGAUCUGGCUUUAAAUCAGAAGCCGCCCUCAAUUGUGGUUAUGAGAAUUCAGAGAAGAGACGCGUCAGUGUGGGCUGGAGUGCCUGGGAUGGGUCUUGGGGGAGGGUUUGAGCUGGGCUUUGAAGGAUGAGUAUAAUUUAGUCCGAAGUGUGAACAUUCUGGGAAGAAGAGUGGACCAGGAGGGGGGCCAAAAAAGUGGGGCAGGUGACUGGCAGGGAGGCAGCAACCAUGCAGAUGUGCAGACAGCUGUGGGGACGGCCCCUGGAUGGAGGCCGUAUGUAGCUGGAGACUGACUCACAGACCAAUGUUCUGAACUUGAUCCAACAGGCAUUGGAGGAUGGGGUGUGUGAGAGACUAAAAGCAGCAUUUUAGGGUUUUAAAAAAGAUUAAUUUAAAAGGUGACUUCAGGAUGUACUGGGGUUACACGCCUGUGAGAGCAGACUGCUGGGGGGUGGGGUGGGCCUGCACUUGCGUAGGCUCUCCGAGAGAGGCGUUCUCAAGGAUAAGAUGGGGAGACGCAGCCACUGUCUCCACGGGUGAGGAUGUUUCUGGAGGGAGGACCAUGGUGGGUGGACUUCAGGGAGAAGUUCUGCUGACUUCUUCGGCCCAUUUAAGAGGCACAUGCUUUGUGCCAGGCACUGUUCUAGGAGCUUGGGUUACAACAGGGGACACAAGGGGCUCAGGUGGGCGGCCCCACAGAGCCCAGACUGGAUGGAGAUGAGAGAAUUAGCCAGUGAGCACCUGGCAGAGGGCAUUCCAAGCAGGAGCCAGAGCAGCCAAUGCACCCCCAGGGCUUGUCUGGCCUGCGGGGUGAACAGAGCGAGGCCAGUGUGGCUGGAGCAAACUGAGAGUGAGGGGAAAGAGGUCAGAGAUGGGUCAAAGGUCACAGCAAAUUGAGAGUGUGGGACCCCAGGGGCGACCAUAAGCUCUUGGCUUCUACUCUGAGUGGAACGGAAUCUGGGGCAGGAGAGAGACAUGAUGGAUGCUGAGAUUCGAUUCCUGGGUGCAGGGCAGGUCCAGAAAGACCUUUCAGGAAGGAACUGAAACAGGAUGGUGGCUCAGACCGCAGUGGGAACACCAGAGGAGGUGAGAAGGGUCAGCCUCGGGUGAUUUGAGGGGAGAACCAAGGAGACUGCCUGCAGGUGGAAAGUGGGGGAAUGGGAGAAAGAAGGAAGCUAAGGUGGACCCCAAGGACUCUGCCCUGAGCUGCCCGCAGCAGAGGAGGGAAGGUGGUAGGUAGGGCCACUUGAGCUAUACCCACCGAGAAAUGAUCAGGAGUUGGUUGUAGGGUGCGUUGGUUUAAAAAGGUUUUUUUAGAGGGGGACUUAAUUCAGCAUAUUUAUUUUUAGAGGAGGGACUGGGGAUUGAACCCAGGACCUCAUGCAUGCUAUGCACAUGCUCAUACCACUUGAGCUACACCCUCCCCCUAGGGUAUGUUGAUUUUGAGAUCUCUCAUGGGCUCCCAGAGGAAGACAUCAAGUAGCGGUGGGACGUGUGUCGGGAUUUGAGGAAGCGGUGUGAGCUGGAGAUGGACGGGUGAGUCCUGGGCACAGGGGGACGGCUGAGAACACCCAGGAAGCCAGUGGGGUGGGGAACAGGUGGUCACGGACCGAGCUCUGGACUCUCUAAAGUUCCUUAAAAGUGAAAUGCAAUAGAAUACAGCUGAAAAUCUAACAGCAAAUAAAAACAGAGAGGAUGGGAAGGGGGAAGUGGAAGGAGAGAAUUUAGUGAACUCCUUGGAGUUUUGCAGCAAAGAGGAGCAAAGAAAUGGGGUGAUGGGAGAGUCAGGAGUCCGGACACUAACAGUGUGUUUGGUGACGGAGGGUUUGUAAGGGAAAUUGGACUGGGAGGCAAGGUGACCAGCCAUCUCCGUGAGAAUGUCGGCCACGGUCUACUGAUCAGGCCCAGCUGAGGACAGCGUUAUGCUGCUGAAGUCAUUGGUGCCUACUCCGCUGGGGCAGUGGGGCGGGAGGAAGGAGGUUAAAAAUGAAUGGAGAGAAAGAGAAAUGCCAUAUUGAUAUCAUUUAUAGAUGGAAUCUAAAAA